Amphiprion ocellaris (clown anemonefish) is the source of this 1137-nucleotide long non-coding RNA. NCBI's taxonomy places the organism in Eukaryota, Metazoa, Chordata, Actinopteri, Pomacentridae. The record is from Ensembl.
UAAUGCAGAUUUUAAAUUACAAUAUUUAUUAUAUAUUUUUUUAAAAACAAAAAUGUCUUUGGUGUAAAUGAACUUUCACCUUGUCCGAGUCAGAGUUCACUGCGCAUGUCAAACCACCACGUCACUCUGCUGAAGCUUCCGGACGCAGCCACUUUGGGAAGCUAGAUGUGGUUUUUACCCCCAAAACAUGACAGAGAAGUGAAAGAGAAAACACUAUUUUCACGAUGACUGGGAGGAAGAGUUAUUUUUCACGACAGUGAAAGACAAAUGUAUGUGUCCUAUUUGCGGGGCGACUAUUGCGUCCGCCAAGCGGCACAAUGUGGAGAGACGCUACUUUAGCCACCACAAAGCUUCCAUGCUAACUAGCCAUGCUAACUAGCCACCUGGUAGCGCACAUAGACUGUUUGCGCACUAUGGACAGGAAAAUCCCGUUACUUAAAGGCAGCUUUGACAUCUACUACGCGGCGAAAAGUUUCUUCGUGGAGAAAAAUGUACCAUCAGAAAGGCUUGUUUUACUGACGACAGACGGGGCUCCUCCAUGACGGGUCGGCAUGCAGGCUUCAUUGUACUAUGCAGAGGUGAUCCAGACUUCCCAACAUCCCUACAUUACCACUGCAGCAUUCACCAGCAGGACAUAUGUAUGUACAAAAAUGACUGGAUUUGAUCAUGUGAUGACUCCUGUCGUGAAGAUCAUAAAUGGCUCCAAAGCCAAACAACCAGGACAUUGAAGGUGCUGCUGGAGGAGCUGUUAGCUGAACAUGGUGACCUGUUAUUACACACAGAAACCCCAUGGAUCAGCAGGGGACCAGUUUUGCAGCGUUUUUUGUCACUGUUGGCCGAAAUCAAAGAGUUGAUGCAAUCCAAAGGGGAAGACACCUCGCUGUUUGAGGACACUGAGUGGAUUCUUGUCCUUGCAUUUUUAACGGACAUCACUGAGAAACUGAACCAUCUGAACUGUGAGCUGCAAAGUAAAGCAAUCUCAAUCUCUCCAGCAGACACUGAGCUUUCACUGAUAGACAGAAAAGUGGAUUGAUGAGAAGGGAAAGCAGAGAAAAUGUUAGAAUUAUAAAGUAAGUAAAGAUUAUAAUAACUACAUCAGAUAAUUCUUGGUCGCAGUUGGAAUUUUGCAGACUGAGA